UGCUUCUCCAAAUUUUUAUAUCAAAGAAAUUCUGCCUAAGUUGAAGAAAGCCAAGGUUAUUGGAUUGGUGCUUGCUGAUGGAGGAUGCCUACAGUCAAUUCUUCCACCUAGCAUGUAUGAGUUUCAGAGGCUUCGAUGCAGAGUUGCGUUUCAUGCUCUCCAAUUUAGGCAGGAAAUUCAGUUGCUUGGUCACCAGAUGGUUGAUAGGUUAAGAGCAUGGGGUCAACCUUUCCUUGCAUUUCACCCUGGUUUGUUGAGGGACACAUUGGCAUAUCAUGGUUGUGCAGAACUUUUUCAGGA
This 300-nucleotide unclassified non-coding RNA is filed under the name Hevea brasiliensis (rubber tree). Lineage: Eukaryota; Viridiplantae; Streptophyta; Magnoliopsida; Malpighiales; Euphorbiaceae. The record is from RNAcentral.